GGGAAGGAGAGAGGAAGAAAAAGACGUUCCUGAGAGCUGGAAGGUCUGCUCUUCCUCCAAGGUUCUGGCAGCAAAGACAUCUCUUCUGUGUUAUGACAUAAUUUCACAUGGGCUUUUUCAUGUCCGUUUUACAUGUGAGAAGACUGAGACUUAAGGAGAUGAAGUAAUCGACACAAAGCCUCAAGGCUGGAGGUACCACAGCUGCAGAUACUUCCUUUAAAAUGUCAACAGCAAA
Molecule: long non-coding RNA, 235 nt
Organism: Bubalus bubalis (water buffalo)
Lineage: Eukaryota; Metazoa; Chordata; Mammalia; Artiodactyla; Bovidae
Exons: 2
Source: RefSeq, a predicted model, not a curated record